This is a long non-coding RNA of Gopherus evgoodei (Goodes thornscrub tortoise), 2866 nucleotides long. RefSeq lists it as uncharacterized. NCBI's taxonomy places the organism in Eukaryota, Metazoa, Chordata, Testudines, Testudinidae. The record is from RefSeq and is a predicted model, not a curated record. The transcript is spliced from 3 exons.
GCCUUUCCCCCGCCCUGCCAAGGUGCCUGCCAGGGCAGGGCCACCCACCCUGUGCAAUCCUCUUCUCCCACACCCCCCAACAGCUCCCCUCCAUAGUCUCCUGUGCACCACAAGAUGUUCAGGACGCCCCCCUCCCCGACAAAUCCAGUCCCCAACUGUCACACCUGGACUCGGCUUCCUACGCUAUGUCUAAAGGCUGGUCUACCCUUGAAAGUUCAUUUAGAUUAAGUUAGGGUGUGAAUUUAAAACGCAACAGCUCUUCCAGAAUAGUCCCCUGCGUGGACAUUCUUAUUCUUAAAUAAGAGUGCUCCCAUGGAUUGGUUAAUUUCCCCAAGCAGAUGAGCCCUUAAUUAGGAAAAGAGAGAAAUUAGGUUAAUGUUGGGUAAUAUUGACCUCUUUUGCUCAUCUGGAUAUAUCCCUAGAUACCAAAUGUGUAGCAAGGCACUUCUCCACCCCUUAAACUGUCUGCAUCCAGCUCUGGAACUGUACCUCCCAUUCCAUGCAUUUUAGUGACCACUACAUAUUUUUUUUGGAGGGACACAUUUGUGGUGGAAUACAGUGAUCCUAUUGAUUUGUCAAUCGCAAAAAUCCUGUUUAUUUUCACAGAGCCAGGAUUUCACCCUUGGUGUCUAAGAUAAGAGCACACCUUGAGCUGAGCUGAGAUGCCAUGCUCUAGCUCUAGGCAGGGUGAUUGUAUUGUGUGCUGGAACUUGCCAUCUCCACAUACUACAUGUCCAUAUUAUGAAUGAAGUUGGUUGCAAGCUGUUCCAUUUUAUGCUGGUUUUGGGCAGCCUGGCAAAUUGCCAAUGUAUCUCCCUCAGGUGGGCAGUUUUUUAGGUGCCUUUGUAUUAACCAACAGAGCCUUUUCCAUGUAAACAUCAUCCUUUUUAUAGACCCAGUUCCUUAUGUUCUUGUAAAAAUGAUUCAAAUAUAUCUCUUUCACCUGGCCCUCAGGAUUGAAAUGAGAGAGAGAUGCUGAAGUAUAGUGAGUUUUAUUGUCUGAAAAAGAAAUAAAUAAAAUCAAAUAAUCCCACAGUCCACUGGAGGGCUAUAGUGAGUGCUGGAAAGGAUUUGUACUGCUUGCUGAGAGCGUAAUGAAGAAAGUGACUGUGGCAGCGAAAACAGCCCAUUCACUUUUUUUAUCUGGAAGGGGAACAUUUUACAUCCCCCAAGUUAGGAAUUAUGGGGUCGUCAGCUAGAAGUACUGUUUGAUCUCCCUAUAUAAGGUGAAGGGAAGUUGUGAGAGAGAGAUUGUUGUAGGUACUGUAUUUUGAAAGGUGGCACCGAUAAGAACAGUGUCUCAGCAGCAGGUAGUUGAGAGUAUUUUGUGUAUUCUGUCUUUUGCUUUUAAAAUAUUUUAAAACCAGAGAAGUGUGUGGGUGUUGGUAGGAGAUGGUUUGGUGAGAGAGACAGAUACAACGUCAGGGACAUUAAAAAGAGAGACUGCAAAUGGUGCUGUGCACUAGCAUCUGACUGAGAGACAGAAGCCUCCAGGGAGAAGAAAGGAAGGAAGAAGGGCCUAAAAGGGUUGUCUGGGAAGUGGUGGCUCAAAAUGAGUCCACCACAACCACUACUGCUAUGACUCAGGGGACUGGUCUUUCCUCCCUUUAGAUAAAGGGGUUGGAAGCUCUACUGUCAGCUCUUUGUGUUGUGAUUCUCUGAUAGCCCCAGUCGCCUCCAUGCUGGGCCUACCAUAUGCACUGCCGUCCUGGCAUUGAGGUGUCUCAAAUGAGAAUCUAUGAGGCAUAACACAGUAGCUUGCUGCCUUCAAACACAACGGGCAACAGAGGACAACGAGAGCCGGCUCCCUCCUCCAGCCAAUGUCCUCACCUUUUUUGCUUCCUGAAUCCAGUCUUGUCCAUUGGAAUGCCCUGGACCCCAAAUUGAUCUGUGUAUCUAAGUUCUGAUGGACACUGAGUCCCCUUCUAACAUAAUCAAUGCCACUCCUGGGUGGGGCCUUGGGGAUCUCCAAGUCCUAGAGCCUCCUGGGAAAUGCCUCUAUAGCCUUAUAGAUCAGUCCAGGCAUGCCGUGGAGACACUUUUACAGUAGAACCACCAUCCUGGAACUCUGCUGACCAUCCUCACUUCCCUCCUUUCCCUGCUUCAGUUACCUGCUCGCGGUCUGCUGCACUAUCCUGCUUCAUCACCUCAUGGGGGAUCAUCAGAGUUUCCAAACCGUGAAUUAAUACUAACCUACCCUACAGGGGAGUUGUGAGACUUAAGAUCCUCACUUUACACAAGGGGAAAACUGAAGCACAGAGAGUUUGUGGUUUGCCCAAGGUCACACACUAUGCUACUUUGGGUGAUGCCCACUGCUAACACAUCGGGUACAACAGUGGAAAAGCCAGACAGGGCUGAUGGCCCAUCAGUGAGGACAAUGGACUGUGGAAAGGCUUGGACUUCCAUAUGGCCACUGAUUCAUGGAUGCUGUAAUACUAUAGAGUCAGGUGGUCUUGUCACCUGAUACUAAUCAUUACCUGGGACUUCUUGUAACUUUCCACUGGAAGGAGGUCAAGUUUGGAAAGCAAAGGAUUUUCGCCUUAUGUAAAACCUGUUUAAGGGUGGGGAGGAAGACAAGCGGACUCCUCCUCUUCAUGGCCUGUUUGCCCAAGAAGAAAGACUGCUAAAGCCACCUGAAGGGAAGGCAGGGGGAGUGUCCAAACUGAGACAUGGGUCUAGUCUGAAAAGGAAUAUAACUGGAACUCUGAACCACAGAAACUUUGCAACCUGCCUAAAAUAACAUUUAGGGUGAGAAUUUCCAUUUUGUAACCUGUUUCUUAAGCAUUUUGAGCUUAGCUUGUGUGUUUUGCUGUAUUUGGUCAGUAAUCUGCUGUGUUCUGUCUGUUAUCUCUUAUAUUCACUUAAA